Molecule: non-coding RNA, 29 nt
Filed under: Homo sapiens (human)
Lineage: Eukaryota; Metazoa; Chordata; Mammalia; Primates; Hominidae
Source: RNAcentral
UCAGUCCAUAUCAAUUGUGUGACCAGGGC